UUCCUAUAGUUAAAUAAUAACGAUGGUUUUUCAGGCCAUAGUUCUUGAAUGGGCUCAAGUAGGAACUA
This 68-nucleotide transfer RNA is filed under the name Merops viridis (blue-throated bee-eater). RNAcentral describes it as "tRNA-Glu". The record is from RNAcentral. Lineage: Eukaryota; Metazoa; Chordata; Aves; Coraciiformes; Meropidae.